This 211-nucleotide long non-coding RNA is filed under the name Elaeis guineensis (African oil palm). RNAcentral's name for it is "long non-coding RNA (EGUI_LNC027492)". The record is from RNAcentral. Lineage: Eukaryota; Viridiplantae; Streptophyta; Magnoliopsida; Arecales; Arecaceae.
UCGAUCCUGAGAUCAGUAUUUUAUAGAGAUAAAGAUAACCUCGACCUUCAAGUCAGUAUUUUAUAGAGCUUCAAGAAAAUCUCGAUUCUAAGGUCGGUAUUUUAUAGAGCUGAAGAUAACUUUGAUCUUGAGAUCGGUAUUUUAUAGAGCUGAAGAUAACCUCAAUCCUAAGAUCGAUAUUUUAUAGAGCUGAAGAUAACAUCCACUCCAA